Molecule: long non-coding RNA, 200 nt
Organism: Toxotes jaculatrix (banded archerfish)
Lineage: Eukaryota; Metazoa; Chordata; Actinopteri; Toxotidae
Exons: 3
Source: RefSeq, a predicted model, not a curated record
AAGGAUCUCAGUGAUUCUAUCAAGACCAAUUCAAAGUUCCACGAUCACCUGAUUGCCGAAGCUGCGGGGUUUUUGCAGGGCUCCUGACUGAGCCAUGAUCUGCUGGGUCCACUAUUUGACACAUACCUGCCGAGCUCACCGAUCAGAAGCGGCGUGCUGCUCGUGCACAGAAAGGAUCUCAGUGAUUCGAUCAAGUGGCG